Molecule: long non-coding RNA, 338 nt
Organism: Brienomyrus brachyistius
Lineage: Eukaryota; Metazoa; Chordata; Actinopteri; Osteoglossiformes; Mormyridae
Exons: 3
Source: RefSeq, a predicted model, not a curated record
AGCAGUAAGGCAAAGCAGAGCAGCCGCUAGGCAGAGCAGCAGUGGUUCCACGUAAGACGAAGUAGCAGUCACCGCCGCGCCACAGCACACGGAACCCUGUGAUAAGACAAUAAGGAGACACACUGGUAACAUACAGGCUAUGUCUGGACCACGUGACCCCAUCCUCCCCGCUUUAUAGGGCUGUCCAGUCUCUAUCCACACAGAGGGCCUCGCUGAAGACUCCCACCAUACUGAUCCCCGAUGAGUCAGAGCAGAACAGCCCGUGUCAGGACAUGCUUCUGCCUAAGAACCGAAUUCUAACAGAAGUUUAGGAGGAACCCAACUAAGGGCACAAGGCA